This is a non-coding RNA of Monodelphis domestica (gray short-tailed opossum), 8384 nucleotides long. The record is from RefSeq and is a predicted model, not a curated record. Lineage: Eukaryota; Metazoa; Chordata; Mammalia; Didelphimorphia; Didelphidae.
CGGUGGUAUAGAAUUCAAACCUCAAUGAAAUGAGUCAGCUUCGUGAUGUAACAGUGGCUGACCACACCAAGAACAUUCUAAAGCCGGCUUUGAUACCCUCCCUUCUGGGAGCAGAACACUCCCAGCUGUGGCCCCAAAGGAUUGGGAGAUAUUUCGCCAAAUAGAUAAAAGUGUCAUAAAACAUAGAUAAUACCAUAUUUUGAAACUGCCACUAUGUGGCCAGUAGAGGCCCUUCCAUAUGGAUUGAUGGCCCUGUUUCUGUUUGAUUUGGAUAUGACUAUUCUAGAACAUGAUGUUCUAGAAUGUUAGUGGAGAUAUGUUGUCAGAUCAAAGAGCGGAAGUGGUUCUGAGAUAGCCUCCUAAAGUCCUGGCUGAAGCAGCGGGAUCUUCUCUGGAUCCAAUGGGCCCUGCAUCCCUAGAAUGGUCUCUAGAGAACGGGAGAGCACGAACAUCUCAGCCCUCAUGGCAGAAGGGAGUUCCACUCCUUGCUUCCUCUGGGAGCUCUCUGUACAGGGAACUUAAGAGGAGUCUGAGAGACUCAAUGAGAUUUUGAAUCUGUUGUAAAAAAUGGUGGGAAAAGAUUUUUUUCUGGAAGAUCUUCACAUUCUUAAUGAUCAGAGAAUGGAAAUGGGAAAUCCCAGCUUACCCUGAACUAGUUCAGGUGUGAAGAAGCAUCUUGUUCUCAGAAAGAGGAAAUUGUUUCCCCAGGAGUGAAAAUGGAAGAAUCAAGAAAGGCCUUUGGAGAAGCCUCUUUUAGGGUCAACAGGUUAUUUGAAGCCACUGCCAGGAUGUUGAUCCUGACUGACUUUCAAGUGGGUAGAUGGAAGAGGUGUUGGCGUCCCAGGCAGGAAAGGCCGAAUGGGAGAAGUCUCAGAAAUCCUCGUCUUCACUGGGAGAGGGAGGAUUCACCAUCUUGAGGAAUUCUGACGAGCAUCACACCUUUUCUUUCAUGUGAGAACUUUUCAUGGGACCUUCUCUUCUUCUCCUCCAUCUGCUUUAUUUGAACCUGAGAGACCCAGGUUAUUCAGUCAACAGUUAUUUCAACCAUCCCAAGGGCUGUGCUUUACAUGACAUUGGAAGAUGCGAUGUUUUAUGAUGUUCCACUUCUAUUCUCUUUUUCCAUCUCCUCUCCUUCAGCGCCUCACCCUUGUGUGGAGACUCCUGAGACCCAUGCCAAUGGAACAGAACCUUUGCUGGGUUCCAGCCUUCUAGAAAGUCACUGCAUAUAGGUCUUCUGUAGGUGUCUGUUGUCAUAGCACCAGCCUGGGCUCAGAACAGAGAGAUUCCCACUAGGUUGGCCAAAGCAGCUCUCAAAGUCAACCUGUGUAGUUCUAGAUACAAUGAAACAUGUUUUGUUGUCAAGAAUGUCCUCUCUGAGGAAAUGUGGCUUCCUUGAAAUACUGAAGAAGGCACCGGAGUUGUGUGUGUGUGUGUAAGCGUACGUGUGCGUGUGCAGAAUAUGUCAUUUAAUUGAGAGAGCAACACCCCGAUGUGGAAACUCCUUUCACCGUUGCAGAUGGGCGACUGAUUGCCAACUCAUAGGCUUUAGAGAAUUCCUGGAAGCUCUAAGAAAUCUAAUGCCGUCCCCAGGGGUAGACAGUGUAGUCUGUUCUGGAGGUCUAGGAGGGACUUUUCUCUAAGAUGGUCCUGAGAUAAUCUUAUAGGUCCCCGCAGCUCUAAGAGAAGAGAAGUCAUCGGGGGUCUGACUCGGUGCUGGUGGGAGGAAGGGCCCUUCCAACCAAAUCCAUGUCCUUGAAGGUCCUUUGGCUUAGAGCAUCAGGUCGAGGAGGGUAUGGUGUACAUACCACAGCAUAGGAGGGUAACUUCUGUCUGGAUCAAAGGAGAGGUAGAGUCAGAUACUGGAGAAUCCUCAAGGGGCAAUGUUAUGUUAGAUCAUUUUAUAGUAUGCUAUUUUUUCAACAUUUCAAUUGUACUUCCAUGAACAGAAAUCCCUUUUUCUUCUCUUCUCCAAGAGAAAAAGCAACAGGUAGAGAUGUAACAUAUUAUGACAAAUAUGGAGUCCAACAAAACUAAUACCCAAAUUGGCCAUGUCCCAAGGUGUCGAGGUUCUGUUCGCCCGGAGCCCAUCACCUCUCUGUGAGCAGGUGGGUAUUAUGCUUUAUUGUUGUUCACCUGCAAUCAUGGCUGAUCAUUGGGCUAAUCCUUUUCUUCUUUCAUUGGACCUCUCUGUUGCUGGGUCAUAUGACAGUCUUUAGUGGCUUUGGGGACAUUGCUCCAAAUAGUUUCCAGAAUGACUGGAGCAUUUUACUUCUCCACCAACUAUCAUUGCCCAUUUUCACUUUUGUUGGUAAACUUUACCAGUAUGUUGAAUGUAAAGGGGAACCUUACAAUUAUUUUAAUUUGCAUUUUUCUAAUUAUGAGUAGGGAAGCUAGGUGGCACAAUGGAUAGAACACUGGACUUAGAGUCAGGAUGACUCUCUUCUUGAAUUUAAAUCCAGCCUCUGAUGCUUAGUAGCUAUGUGACCCUGGGCAAGUCACUUCACUCAGCCUCAGUUUCCUCAUCUGUAAAAUGGGCUGAAGAAGGAAAUGGCAAAUCACUCCAGUAUCUUUGCCAAGAAAAUCCCAUGGCUAUAUAGUAUUGGCAUGCUAUGGUUCAAGGGGUCACAAUUGACAUAAAUGAACCACAACAAUUAAUAGUAAUUGAGAGCUUUUUCAUAUUUAGCUAUUGAUAGCUUGGGGUUCUUCAGGGAACAGUUUGUUCUCCUUUGACUAUCAUUUGAGAAGGGGAUCUUCCAUCUCAUGGAAAUGAGACCCUCCACCAGGGGAACUUGUUGCAAAGAUUAUUUCCCCCCAGUGACUCAUUUCUUGUUUGCACAUCCCCUUUUUAAUUUGGUGGAACCCGAUUUGUCCACUGGUUUUUGAGGGAUCCUCUUGGUCUCUUCUUUUGCUCUGAACUGUUCCCCUGUUCAAAGAGAAGAAAGGGAAUCUCUUCCUUGCUUCUCCAGUGUAUGAAUGUAUCCAUUAUGAUGUUGUCAGGUAGUUCUAAGCCAUGUUAUUCUAUGGUACAUCAUGUUCCACUGUUAUUCUGUCAUGUCAGAUAUGAGGUCAUCACACCAUGUCAUGCCAAGCCAAGUCUCAUCAUCCACGUCAUAGUAUGUCAUGUUUGUUAUGUUACACAACAGUUGGCUUUGGCAUUAGAAAACAUUCUGGAGCUUUCUAGAAUGAAGGCAGAGACAAAUGAGGCUCUAGAAAGCCCCAUCUGGGAGGAGAUAGACAUGCUUCUUGGACUCUCUAAUAUCGUCUUUGGAGUGGAGAGAAAAACGCUAGUCCUAAUUUUGGAUUCCUCAAGGAUCACAGUGGCUCUCCAUCCUUGUGGUCAUGAUCAGGACUAGGGGUGGGGGCAGGGAGGAUGGGCAGGGCAGGGCAGGGCUAAUAGACCAUGUUUCCAUGGCAACCAAAGAGAACGCAUACAGUCCUGGGCUAUCAUUCCCAGCAGGUUUGUAGUCUGGGUACAGCUUAAGUCUUGAUUGGAGGCAGCUCCCUGGUGUUCUCCAAGCAAAAUCUGGACACCUGACACAUGGGUGGCCUCCAAGGACCCCUCCAAGGCUAAGUCAGUGGGCAGGUCUGAGCAUCACCCUUGAAGAGACAUUGAAUGUCCCUGGAAUGUGUCUAGAGGAAGGUGAUUGAACUUGAGAGGAACUCAAAGCAGUGUCUUAUUCAGAGGACAUGAAGGAAAGUGGGAGGUUUAUCUGGGAGAAGCACUUAACAGGAACCUGAGAACUGCCUUAAGUAUAUAAAGGACCUCCUCCUCAUUAGAUGUGUGGGGAAAUGAGAUGGGCAGCUUUGGGGCAGGAGGAAGUUUCCCAUCACCAGGCUCUUCAAGUGCCAGCCCUGGGGCUAUUUGGGGGAUAAUGUCAAGGGGAUUCCGAAGGCUCCUUCAGACUUGGGGAGUCUCCCGUUGUACCUUUGUCUUGGGCAGACUUCUCUUGAUUUACAAUCAUUAAGGAAUAAGUUUCUUUUCUUGAUGGGGGGGGGGGAGAGACAGAGGCUGAAACACAGACAGACAGACAGACAGACAGACAGACAGACAGACAGACAGACAGACAGAGCGGACCUUGUCAUUGGAUCAUGGAGAAGCAGGCAAAUAAGAAAUUGGUCCCCAGAGGCUCCAGGUCACACUGGUGGUGGCCAAUGACCUAGUGGGGAUUGUAACCUCCAUCUUUAAUUCCUGCCUUCUCCCCCAUCCUCCCCUGUUGCCUCCGGGAUUUCUCUGGCUGCAAGUCUCCCUCGGAGAGAGGAAGUGAGGUGGGGCCUGGGUGAUGGAGCAGAUUGGGCAAAGGUGAGUGAGUCGCGUCCAUUCUUGGUUUUUACAACUCGGGGUCAAAUGAAGUCUCUGUUGCAAGUCAUGCUUCCAUUCAUCGGGAGCCCGCUGUUGUUCGCCAACACUUUCCCCAGGAAAAGCAUCCUGUGAAUAACAUUAGCGCUGAAUAUGGAAUGAGUGGGAUGCAGCACAUCGCCCCAGAAAUAAACGUUGUUACAUUUCGAAGGUUUCCAAAACGAUCUUGCAAAAGGAAAUAAAUAGAAUUGUGAGCAGGAGUGGAAGUCAGCUCUUCGCCAGGACGUCUCACGCCAUCGUGGCCAUUUUGUCCCUCUUGUCAGGAAAAGUGGAGAGGCGCCAGGAGACUGCCAAGCCUUGGAGAGAACCCAGGCUUCCUCGAGGUGGGAUGCACUGGCCGUGCACACAGACCUCCCUUGGGCCCCGGGAGAUGGGCAGAUGCAUGGAUUGCAAUGCCUUCGGCCCCUUUGGAAGCCUGUAAAUGCUUCAGCAGAUUGGGUGCUCAGAGCUGGUGCUGCCCAUCGCACCUAUUUCUCCAGGUGUCUUUGUCAUGAGCAGCCCAGGCUCAUAGACGGUGGCUCCCUUGGUUAUAAUCACUAGUCAGAGAACGUUCUGGUCAAAGGCGGUUCUCUAUCGUCUACACUACCAGAUCCCUUCUCCAGCCUAGUGAAUGAGCAUCCCUGAUAUCAGCAUACCUGCCUGACUCCGGCAGCACCCAUUUACCCUUGGAUCCAAAGAGCUAAAUUGGGAGCCACUCAGUCUAACGUCUCAAGUUCUGUUUGGGAAAUUGAGUUGAAGUAGUGACUUGGCCCCAGGGUUGAGCCACUCCAUUGCCUUCUGUUACCUUCAGCCUAAUCCUCCUCUUCCUCCUCUGCUGUCCUAGGACCAGAGGCUACCCCAGAUCCCCCCUCCUUUGCCCCCUCCCUUCUACAUAUGCAAGAACGUGUUAGGAAAUUUUAUUUUUAUUUUUCUACAUCAUUUAGGAAUGGGAAACAUCAAGUGGGAGUGAAGGGUAUCCGGACGUCUGAGUGGGGAGGUGUGGACGGGGCUGGCGUGAAGCCUCUUUGAUACACCUCUAAAGGAGCCAAUCUGUUAGGUGGCCGCUUGCAGGGGCUCUGGCAUGUCCUGAGGCUACCUUUGAGGGUCAAGGUGGGCUGGGGCUGAGGAUAAGGAAGCCUUAGAGGGGCCAGCCUUCUGGGAGGCAGAGACUUAAUCGGAUUCCAGCCGUGGGGUGGGGAGAUGGCUUGGGGGAGAGGGCAAGGAGUCCCCAAAGGGGCCAACUUUCGAAGAGGCAGGAGGUUUUGGUGGGCCCAUGAGUAGGGCCUGGAAAAGCUUCCUUGUUGCUCCCAGGUGGAGGGCAGAGAGCCAAAGGAGCUGAACCUCUCCUGAGCUCCUGAGCCCUUGAAGAUAUGAGCUGCCCUGGGCAGAUGAAGUUGGGGGGACUUGGGCCGUCUACGCAAGGAGCUGGAGGGAGUCCAUGUGGAACCUUCCUGAGGGCUUUCUUUCCAAGCCCACAGAGGCAGGUCCUGGGGACAGGGAGUGGGGAUAUAGAUAUCUAUUUCCCCCUCCCACUCCAGCUUGUCCUGCCCUUCUGGGUAGGUAGGUGGUAAUUUCCUCCCAGGCUCCUGAUCCUGCCUCAGCCACUCUGGAGUCCAACUCUUCCUGGGAAAAAUAAAGCAAAGGAAAGGCCAAGUCAGAUGAGAUGGGAAAGAUGGGAGCUAAGAAGGAAGGAAGGGAGAGGGAGGAGAGAAGAGAUGGAGACGGACAGACACAGACGUGGGGAAGGAUACACAAGAGCAAGAAAAGGAAGGGCAGACACAGCCAGAGGGAGCCAGCAGACGGGCGGGCGGCUAUCUGGAUGGAGGAAGCCAAUCGUACCGUAGGGCUUUCUGCCCUUGCGGAUCUCCCUCAGCUGCAAGGGGGGUCAAUGUCCCCAUCUCAGCUUCUCAAACAAGGCUCUACAAGAGAAAGGGAGAGAGAGAGACCUGGGGAGGGACGUCUCUGGGUAGGCAGACCCAGUGGAGCUCAAGAGAGAGCUGGAUAGGGUGGGCCCAGGCAUCAGGAGAGGGACUGGAGAAUAGGUAGACUGAAGGGUCAUGAAACAUCCUGCCCCAUCAAGUCUGGACCCACCCAAGCCCAGCCCAGCAAUCCCAACUUGAGUAGGGGAGGAUCAGAGCAAAGAGAGGAAUAGAUGGGGUGAAGGGGUACCCUCUUACUUUCCUCCAUUCCAGUGAAGUAGAGAUAAGUGAGGCCAAGAUUCCGGAACCCAGGCCCAGGCUCUCGGCAAUGAUUGUGAGGUCACCAAGCUUCAAGGACCCCAUUGACAUUGCCACCAUUGAUGGGUGAGCCCUGGUGUGCUUCACAGGCUUAGAACCAAGUUCUUCAGGGAGAAAAUGGCAGCUGUCACUGCUGAAAACCCGAAACCACAGCAUCUCCCAGGAGCCACCUGGAGACUCUCUGCUGCCAUGCUCAGGCCGAGUCUUCUCCCAGGCAUAGAAGACAGCCAGGUGAAGCUGGCCUUCAGUGCCUUCCCACUGACCUCAGGGCCCUUGCUGCCCCUUAGGAACUGCCCCCUAGAAUUAGGGUUGCCCAAAAGCAGACUCCUCAGUGGGUUCUCCAUCGCUGGAGGUGGUGAAGAGUAGAAAUGGCCAAGUUCUAGGGAUUGAAUCCAGGAGGGAUGGAACCCAAUGGACUCCAUAUGCCUUCCCGCUCUGUGACCCCCUGCCCCAGGCUCCCCGUCAGAGCAGUGGGGUCUUAGUAAAUAAAUGCUGACUGCAAAUGGCUUGUCUUCACUAAAAUCUGCUGCCCGCUCUCCCGUGAAAAGGAGUGAUAAGGCGCUCACCUGAGACAUCCAUGACCGAGGACUCCGGAAUGUUUUCCUUUUCUGAUCCCUAACCCAAGAGGAGCAGCUGAGUGGACACUAAGCUACCACCAAAGAAAUACUGGGACAGCCCUGGCCAACACAAUCCAAAGUAAACUUCCAAAGCCCGAAAAGCUCAAGAACUAAAACAAUCAGUUCCGACUGCGGAGAACGUGUGAUAAAGUGCUGUCACUCUCCGAGAGAUAGAGAUGGGAGCAGCUCCCAGGAGAGAAUGUUCCGGCCCUUGUCAGCCAGGCUCAGUAUCAGGCUUUUGGUUGAGUUGUUUUACUUUGUUACAAGCAAGGUGAGCGCCCAGUGGGGCCUGUUCAAGGGUGGGAAGAGGAGAGCAGCGCUACCACGGAGAAACAAAAGGCUUCAUCACAGCUAUUUAAACAAAGUAGUUCUUUUUGUUGCGUUAAAAUUCCCAGCGAUCUCCCUCCCUCCCUUCUCCCCAUCCUCAACUAGACGAGAGGUAUCGCUUGACAAAAAGUUCUAUCAAAUGCCGCCUCCCUUGUUGCCAUUUAUCGGUUCUUUCUCGGGAGGUGGACACACAGGAUUUCCGUGGCUGGCUGUAGUGUUCUCUGGGCUCUAGCUUUUCGCUCUUCAUCAUUUCAUGGAGGUCUCGGAACAAACCCGAAGGCCCCCUCUUCCCGACAGCACCCUAGUAUCCCAUCACCAGCCCCUGCCCCAGCAGUGCGGGUGUAGCCAUUCCCCCAGGAGAGGGGCGUCUCAUCUUCUCGGUGCCCUCACCAGCAGAGCUGCUGUGGAUAUCGCAGAACCGGGCAGCUCCUUUUCCUUUUCCUGCUCUCCUCGGGGACAUAGCUGCAGGCCUUUGGAACCAGGCAAUGGGUUUAUCUCCAUCCCGCUUAUGUCCUUGUUCAAAGGCACACACGUAGUACGUGCACGUUCAUACAGAGAAUGGACAGACCCACGGAGUAUCUGUGCACACUUAAGGGACCCAGAGAUGGUACACGCAUGUACUAGAUGUGUACAUGAGGUCUACCUACAUAGUACACGCACACAGAGAUCUCUGGGUUCCUUUCACAAACAAAGUCUCCCUCUCCAGCCGCCGUCGAGGCUCUGUUUCUAUGGAAAUGCCCGUUGCUGGGUUUUGUUUGCGGUGUUCGAGCUCAGAACCCAAAGGGAUCGAGGCGCUCUGGGGGCGCUGGAACUGCCGGGGAGUCUCUUUUCUGCGGCAGCCAGCAGCUGGACUGUCCGCCUUCUGUC